GAUGGCAUACAUUGCUGGAAGGCCCGUUGGGUCUAGUUUCACACUCGAGAAUCGGUUUGUCAUUUCGACUUCCCAAUAAAAAGUUAUGGCCAGUUUAUUGGAAACUGCUUUGGAGGUCAAUAGUCAUGCGAAGCCAGUUCGGGAAUCCAUUCCAAGGGGACCAUUCACAUUCCUUCCCCCAGAAACUCUAUUUUGUUUUCAUACCUAUCUAGGAGAAUUGUUCCUAGUAUAAAUAUUCCCUACCUCUAAGCUAUUAGGAACCUUUGAUCAUUUGAUAAACUACAUGAUAUUGUAGCCACGCUGCUGUGUGCCUUACUCAACCUUUGUUCUUCCUUAUUCUUCUUGGACUUGUGAAGUGAAUCCUCUGGGUUCCCCUAUUUCGUGCUCUACGGCUUCCGUUCAGCUACGCCGUAUUGUGUGGAUUAGUUUUGGAUUGUGGUUCUACGAUUGUUCAGAGAUGGAGUCGAAGUCUUCACGGUUUUGGUGCUUCUCUCCCUAUCGCUUGGUUGCAUCCAACCUUUGUUAGGUAUAAAGCUAGUUAUCUAUUGUUUGCAGCAAGUUAUCCUUGUUCUUUUGAUCUAUUGUCGUGAAGAUCGGGCCACCCUCGUAUCGAUUCAUAUCAGUACCUAUCAACAUUUGUCCUUUUUCUCUUCUUUCUUUUCUUUUUCUUUUUCAAUACUUUUAUUUUGCAUAGCCUCAUACCUCCUUAUAUAACCAGAAAAUGUUGAGAAAGACUUUUUAAAUAACUUAGAGCAAUUAUUCGUACUAAGACUCUUUUUGUGUUUUCUCCCAGUGUAGGGGUAAAACAUUUUUAUGGAUGGAAAGGCAUGUUUGUGCGCAUUCCUAGUGAGGAAUGACAGAUAUAUGUGAAUGAUUAUGAGGACACUACGCUAGCUAGGAAACAAAAAUUUCAACAUCAUAAACAAGGAUCAACUGCAAGUUAUAGAUCAUGGGAUUACCACUAGACACGCAGAUGCAGUGGAAGCGACUCGGUGUAGUUGUGCGCGUAGUAGCAGUGCCGUGCAGUUGCAUGGUCGUCCACCACACCAAUCCCUCUCCCGCGGU
This 1065-nucleotide long non-coding RNA is filed under the name Sorghum bicolor (sorghum). Its description in RNAcentral is "long non-coding RNA (SBIC_LNC014281)". The record is from RNAcentral. Lineage: Eukaryota; Viridiplantae; Streptophyta; Magnoliopsida; Poales; Poaceae.